UCCUCCCUCUUUCGGCGUGCUUAACACAUGCAAGUCGUACGGUAAGGCCCUUUCGGGGGUCCACGAGUGGCGCACGGGUGAGUAACACGUGAGUAACCUGCCCACAACUUUGGGAUAACGCUAGGAAACUGGUGCUAAUACUGGAUAUGUGCUCCUGCUGCAUGGUGGGGGUUGGAAAGCUCCGGCGGUUGUGGAUGGACUCGCGGCCUAUCAGCUUGUUGGUGGGGUAGUGGCCUACCAAGGCGGCGACGGGUAGCCGGCCUGAGAGGGUGACCGGCCACAUUGGGACUGAGAUACGGCCCAGACUCCUACGGGAGGCAGCAGUGGGGAAUAUUGCACAAUGGGCGCAAGCCUGAUGCAGCAACGCCGCGUGCGGGAUGACGGCCUUCGGGUUGUAAACCGCUUUCAGCAGGGACGAAGCUUUUUGUGACGGUACCUGCAGAAGAAGCACCGGCUAACUACGUG
This 465-nucleotide ribosomal RNA is filed under the name uncultured bacterium. RNAcentral describes it as "partial 16S ribosomal RNA". It matches the Rfam family "Bacterial small subunit ribosomal RNA", at positions 36 to 507 of the family's 1533-position model. The record is from RNAcentral.